GCGAACGCUGGCGGCAGGCCUAACACAUGCCAGUCGAACGGACCCUUCGGGGUUAGUGGCGGACGGGUGAGUAACACGUGGGAACGUGCCUUUAGGUUCGGAAUAGCUCCUGGAAACGGGUGGUAAUGCCGAAUGUGCCCUUCGGGGGAAAGAUUUAUCGCCUUUAGAGCGGCCCGCGUCUGAUUAGCUAGUUGGUGAGGUAACGGCUCACCAAGGCGACGAUCAGUAGCUGGUCUGAGAGGAUGACCAGCCACACUGGGACUGAGACACGGCCCAGACUCCUACGGGAGGCAGCAGUGGGGAAUCUUGCGCAAUGGGCGAAAGCCUGACGCAGCCAUGCCGCGUGAAUGAUGAAGGUCUUAGGAUUGUAAAAUUCUUUCACCGGGGACGAUAAUGACGGUACCCGGAGAAGAAGCCCCGGCUAACUUCGUG
RNAcentral lists this ribosomal RNA (432 nucleotides) under uncultured bacterium. RNAcentral's name for it is "partial 16S ribosomal RNA". It matches the Rfam family "Bacterial small subunit ribosomal RNA", at positions 29 to 507 of the family's 1533-position model. The record is from RNAcentral.